CAGCGGCUCCAACCACAACAACCACAGCUCCAACCACAACAACCGCAGCGGCUUCAACCACAACAACAGCUGCUCCUACCACAACAACAUCAGCUCCAACCACAUCCACAGCGGCUCCAGCAAUAAUCCGUUUUCUCACUUUUAAAUCUAAUGAAAAUUUCACCUCUGAUUUGGGAGAUCCAUCAUCAUCAGCAUUCCAAUCACGCUCUGAACUCAUAAGGAAUCGUCUUGGCACACUUUUCAGAAGAGCUUUCCCCUCAUUCCGAAAGACUGGAGCUAUGACAUUCAGGGCUGGAUCAAUUAUCAACUCUGUGGACCUUGAAUUUGAGUCAUCAUCUACUCCUAAUAAUACACUAAUUGAAGAGACUUUGGUUAAUGAGGCUUCAAACAUCACGGAAUUCAACGUAAUAGCUGACACCAUUGCUAUUAGUGACCAAGAUACAACUACGACUUCUCCAACGACGUUGACAUCUGGUCCAACAACAACCACUGUAGCACCAACCACCACAACAGCUGCUCCAUCCACAACA
Molecule: long non-coding RNA, 530 nt
Organism: Poecilia latipinna (sailfin molly)
Lineage: Eukaryota; Metazoa; Chordata; Actinopteri; Cyprinodontiformes; Poeciliidae
Exons: 4
Source: RefSeq, a predicted model, not a curated record